RNA transcript from Dromaius novaehollandiae (emu), 1794 nucleotides. It is a transcript of the gene named LIM homeobox 8, with no coding region annotated. The transcript is spliced from 2 exons. The record is from RefSeq and is a predicted model, not a curated record. Lineage: Eukaryota; Metazoa; Chordata; Aves; Casuariiformes; Dromaiidae.
GAGCCGUGCCGAGGACGGCGGCGGGAGGCUCGGGGCCGCCGGGGUCCCCCCUCGGCGCGAGGGGUCCGGGAGCGGCGGGGUCCCACCCCGGGGGGGGGAGCGGGGGGAGCGGGGCGCGUGUCCCCGGUGCCGCCCAAGGCGCUGCUCCCGGGUCCCGCGCCGGCGAGGGGCCUUGCCGGGCUGCUCCGCCUUCGCCCCUGCCCCCCCGGGGGUCGCGGCGGGGGGGUCCCCGGCCUGUCUGAGCUCUGCUGCUGCCGCUGCCGGAGCGCUGGACUCGCGGGGCAGCCGCGCGCCGCCUCGCAGGAGCCUGGCUUCGGUGUUUGAUGCUUCGGGGGGGCGGGGGGGGGACGGACCCCGCUUUUCUGUGGCAGCGGCGGAGUGGCACAGUGCCAGGGAGCAUCUGGCACUUGGCAGCGGGUGGUUCCCGCGCUGUGCGGGUCGCUGGAGCAGGCUCUGCACCGUCCCGUGCGGACGCGCAGCCUGCGCCUGGUCCCUGCCGCGCUGGGACUCGGGCAGCGCUCGGUCGGACGCUAGCAGGAGCCGCGGGCGGCCGGGGGGGUCUCCCCGCUCCGGGGGUGCCCUGUCCGUCGCUCCCGGCAGCGCGGGCUCCGGGCCAUCCUGGGCGCCAGGAGGUUUCCCUGCGGCUCCCGCGCCAGCCCGGCAUCUCGGCCGGCGUCCCCAGCAUCCCGGCUGCCUGUCCCUGUGGUCCCCAUGGUCCCCGCGGUCCGCGUGCCACUGGCCGCCGUCGCCCGGGGAAGGGGAGCCAGGCGGGCGCCGUGCAGCUGCUCCGCAACCCCAGCCGUCGCCGGGAAGAGCAGGCGUUGCCGGCGCGGAGCGAGUGCUUCCACGAUGACGGGGAAGGGCGCGAGGACCCGCUCUGGACACGGAGCUCCAGCUGCCGCGGACGAGCCAAGCUCCUCUUCCACCGCCGGCCGAGGGGGACGGGCCCGGGCAGCAGCGGCGUUCGGGGCUCCGGGCUUGCCGUGGGCAGAACGCGCUCCGCUCGCCCCGUUCUAGAGGGACCGUCACCGCCCUCCGCGACGCCCGAGACCCCGGGGCCUGGCGCGCGCUGCCCCGUGAGACCUGCUCCCGCCCUCGGCGGCGGCGCGAGCCCGUCCCCAGAGGAGCCCCGGAGGGACGGGCCAGCGCCGGGGCGGCCGUGCCCACCGCGGCCUCGCGAAGCCCUGCUUGGGCGCAAGGCGGUCCGUGCUUUGCGGUGCCUGGUGUGCCACUCGGGAGAGCAAAUAGUUCCAGCGUUUCUGAACGUGAAGAGAAGUAGCCCGAGUCCUCAGAGCUGAGGCCAGCAAGGUCUGCAGACCUCCACGGCACAAAUGCAGAAAUGGGAAACUACGGUUCGCUAAGCUGCUGGAGAAACCCCGCAGAAACCCAUGGAGCCCGACUUCCCCAAGCACGGUCAACCCGCACGGGCUCUCCCGCUGCCCGGGGUGCCGCCAAGAUGUCGCCCGCUUCUUCAAAAAGCGUAACUCGUGCGAUGGCGACGUUUGCUCUUUGCUUUCACCGAGAAGCCGGCACGCAUGACCGGCGGUCGAGCGGGGCCUCGGGGCCGCUGGGGUCGAGGGGGCUCGGAGCAGGGCCCCCCCCGCGCGGCCGAGGAGGGGCUGGGGCGGAGCAGCAGCCAACGAGCCGGAGGCUGCUCAAGGCGAACGUCCCUGCCGGGCUGUGCGCUAGCUGCUCCGCUGCCGUGGACGUUCCCUUCGUCAAGCACGCUUGGGUUAUGCAAGCACAGUUCGCUCAGGACAACAAUCCAGAUGCACAAACGCUCCAAAAACUGGC